GAAACAUCAAGCAGCGUCAAAUCUGACCAUAUCAGACUACUGACUGCAACCUGUCACAUAGCCGCACCAGAUAAUUGGGAACAACCAUAUUUAACACAGUCCUUCAGUGAAAAGAUUCUUGUCGGUCUUCUUGGGGGGAAGAUUGUUAUCUACAAAGCAAGCAUUCUGUCUGAAUAUAAGAAAAAGAAGAAGGUCCUGCCUGUCCUACUGAAGUACCAAAGGUCCAGUUUGUGA
This 234-nucleotide long non-coding RNA is filed under the name Calidris pugnax (ruff). Its description in RNAcentral is "lncRNA (ENSCPUG00000013241.1)". Lineage: Eukaryota; Metazoa; Chordata; Aves; Charadriiformes; Scolopacidae. The record is from RNAcentral.